ACGAGUUCCGUUCUUUGUCCGUUUUAUUUUGCAUUGCUACGUCGCCCUCUCCCUGGGAAGGUUGGGAGAGGGCUAAAUCUGCAAAAUUUUAGGCAAUACAUAAAGUGAUAGAUAUUCAUAAACCGAAAAUUCUCAACGUCUAACUACUUUUAUCAGGACAAACUUGUGUUGCUUCAAUUAGUAACCGAUCUGGGAAUCUCUUCAAAAACAUGUGGAGGGCAGACAUGUAUGUAUUUAUUUGCAACUUUUCACUUGAUGACGACAGAUGGUCAAACUUCGUUGGAGUGAUACCUACAUAAAUUUAUGCUGAUUGGAUCUAACGACUUGCACUGGAGAAUAUGCACAUAAUUUAAAUCUCAACUCUGGGAUAUGAACUACAUACAAAAUGGGAAUCAUUUAAUUUCACCGAGUUGUGAAACUACAAUCUACUUCAUAACCAUCAGCAGCAGCAGGGCCUGACACAAUUUGUACCUCAACCAUUUUCCCUGAAAAUGUACGCGAUAUGGACCAGAUUUAGGGGCAACACAAUCACCUCAGUAAAUAUUUCGUCUCCACAAAAUUCCGCCAUCAUUCAAGUAUCGAGUAAACAUUAAAUUUCUCUAAGCUAAUUAAGGUUCAAAAUUAGUAAUACGGAAAUUUUUAGACUCAUCAUAGGAUAAGUCGGUACAUACAUAUAUGUACCGACUUAUCCUACUAUCUUAGUAUACUAUCUUAUUAUAUGGUAUACUAUCUAAUUUCCACAAAUCGUACCUUUUUUGGGGACGUUUUCGGUCAAAAACGUUGAAUUAUUUUAACUUGUAAUAAGCAGGCACAGUACAACUUUUAAUUAAGAUUAAUUCAUAUUUUAUCAAAAAUGACAUUAGAUAAUGAGAAAUGUAGGUAGGUAGGUACAUAAUAUCUGGGUUAUGAAAUAUUUGUCCCAGGUAAAUUACAUUUUAGUACGCUCUAAGGAAUCCCACAUAUAGCGUUUUUCGCUAGCCAUUCGAGUGCCAUGUAUUGUGGAAUGUUAAUUCACCGCACUACAAAUGAUGACCAACUGUUCAAACAUAGAAUUUCAGUCAUAAUGAGGGUAUUCACUACGAGUUCGCAUGUCGGCAUCGGGACAUAACUUUUUCUAAAUUCCUAAUUUAGGGAAACCAAAAAGUGAAGACACUUCGGCGAAAUGACGGUUCCGCAGUGUUUCGUUUCUUGCGGGUUUUUCUCAUCUUUUGCACUGCACAGCAAGAAAUGCAAGAAAGUGCAAGAAACACAGCGCCAUCUAGCGACGCGCCUAAAGAACUAUGGCGGCGGGAAGCAGUUUCUUGCACUUUGCAUUUCUUGCGGGUAAAAAUAGCUGCAAGAAAUCAAUUUCUUGCGGUUAUUUCUUGUAGGUGGUUAGUGCACCCAAAACACUAACGGUUCGUAAAAUUCCGUGUACGGCAUUCCAAAAAUUUCAAACGGAAAAUCUUUGAUAACUAAGAUACUAGAGAUUUAUGAACUUUUCCAAUUGCAAAAUUUUCACAUUUGUGAAAAUUAUUUUGUUAAUUAAAGGCUAGCCCAGGUCCUGUGCCUCACAAUUCAAUUUAUAAGCCACAAUUUUUUUGCAAAUAUUACCAACCAUGCAUACUCGAUUUGAACACCCCCAAUAUAUCUUGAAUGUCAGAACUUUAAAAAAUCGCUUACAUUAAUCGUAACUACGUUAUGCAUUUAAGAUGCAGCAUUAUAAAUACUAUAUCACAGCGAACAAUCAUAUUUACCUCCGUGAGGUAGGCGAUAAUUUUGUCGCAAAAUCCAAACAUAUAACUUGGUGUCCCAACAAAGUUGGACCUUUUCGGCACCAUGCCUUGUACCUGACUAUAGUAUUUCUUGAUUGGUCCACUACCCUUGUCCGUUUUCAGCAUCGGAGCGGUCACAUCCGUCUGCAAAAGCUCUCGCGAAUGUCCAAAGCAACAUUCUGGUGUCCAGAUCGAAACUGGAAUUCCGAAAAUCCAAAGUUGAGGUUGGAUAUCAACUUCGAAACUUGCAAUCUUGGCAGGUCCCAAUCUUUUCGUUAGUCCUUCUGAUUCAUAGAUUUUAUAGUCACACGUGGAAUCCCUUUGACACUAAGGUACGUUACGUCAUCUAGGCAGACGAUACUGGCGCAAGGUCCUCCUCGCAGAUAGCUACGAAGGGCUGAAAUUAUCACAUUGAUCAUAAGUUUUUCCCCGUGGGAGACAUCUAUGUACCAAAGUGGUAUCCUAUCCAAUAUUUUAUUCUCACAAUUCCAUUCGGACUAUCCUGAACGUGGCGACCACAUUCAAAUUGUGUACAUAUUUUCAUAAUUACGAUGCUGGCUGAGAGUUAGCCUUCCAUUUUUAAUGUAGAUAUAGUGCUCCCUUGUCCGGAAUUUUGCAACGCCGUGUCUCCCUUCACAGACUGAGUACUUGCUAUUGUCGAGUCUGGGAACAAGUUUAUCUCGUCCGACGCUGGGUAUUUCGUUUACCAGUUGUGUCAGUCGUUUUGUGGUAGGGUCCACCCAAAUACUUUCAUUAUUUCGUUCAGAGCAGAUAUCCAGAGGAUAUGUUUCUUUGGAUAACUAUGAUAACCUAUCCCUUUAUAAUGCAAUCAGAAUUCUACUUUCUCAUUUGCAAAUUCUACCUUGUAUUCGUUCAUUUUUUCAAGCACAAAGUUUAACGUGCUGGUCCGCUCGUUUUUGAUUAAUUACGAUAACCGAAAAAUUUCUUCAUUUUCGGUAUUUAUUUGCUAUUGUAGUGUAAGCCUCUGCUCGUCUUUGGCAACUUUUAAUGUUGCGAGUUGCUCCUCAACAAUGUGCAGCUUUGCCUCCAUGAAAUGCACGGAGCUUUCACUAUCUUUUAAAUUGCGUUGCAUUUUUUCUAACUGGUCUUGCUGCUAGUUCAGUUUAUUCCGAAGACAGCUUCCAAAUUCUCUCUCUGCAAUUAGCAUGUCAUUAACAUUCCUAAUUAUCUCGUCAUUGUUCGCAGAGGAUUCUUUUGGAUGCUGUGACGUUUGCUUCGAGAUCCUAUUUUCGUCUUCCAAUGUUGCAACUUGUAAUUUCAACGCCUCAAUUUUUUCACUCGAGAAUUCUAUUUUAUACUCGUUCAUCUUCCCAAUAUUGGUGAACGAAUUAGGAUUUUCCAGAAUAAAUUGGAGAUCUUGGUCUCCAAUUGUUUUACCUGGUUCAACUGGAACCAAGUUUAUUAUAUCUCUUGUGGGAGAUAUGUUCGAAAAACUAUCCCCAUUAAGCACUACCUCGGCUGGUUGAGGACCACCCUCGGUCUCCAUUUCGAUGAUUUCGUCCAUGGUUUCCCCCUCCGGGGAGAAUGGGGUCGAUCGGAAAAACAGGCGUCUCCUGACGUCAGUUGAUGUCUUUCAUUUUAAUUGCAGGAGCUUUCGGCGUUACAGGAGAAUUACAAGGAGUAUUUGGAGAUUGUUCCAUUCUAAUUGGCGAAAAGCUUGUUUAAAGUUCUAAACUCUUGUGAAUUGCGAAUGAUAAGAAUACCGUUCAUGCAGCUCUUUAUAUGCAAAAUAAUAAUGCACCAACGCUUGAUACUUUUUUGCAACAAAGAGCUUUGCAUUUAUUUAACCAUAACUAUUUACUUAUUUUUGUUAACAAUGUUUAGCAUACCGUAUCAUAAUCGGGGGGUUCAUUGCAGAAUUCAUACGCCUUAUUCUUUUAAACUAAUGCCUGGAUCUGCUUAACUCGCACAUCCGUUGUAUAAAAAGCAUUAAGAGCAACAUAAUAAUAAUCACGAACAUGGUAAAAGUUCUAGGGGAAUCACUGUAUAUGAUCAAACUUAAUGUAGAGUUUGGCUUAAUUAUUAGUUGUGGGAAUUUCGUGAGUUGGUUAGGUUAGGUUAGGUUAUCGAUCUUGAUCCUCAUGCCGCAUUCAAGUUCGUCGGGUUGAUAAAUUCGCUUCGCAGGUUGUCCAAUCUCCAAAUCAGAGCACUCGUCCAAAUUGCAGUAACCACCAACGAUCCAGCUUAGGUUUGAUCUUCGAGGGUUACGCAUGCAUGAAUAUCGAGGUUGACCCGCUGCAUAAUACAUAUGCUUGCAGAAACCGGAUUCGCCGUCGGAUGUACAUUAUAUGCAAUCAUUAGAAAGGGAUGUAGAGUUUUCUCCCUUUUCAUUAUUUCGUUCAGAGCUGAUAUCCAGAGGAUAUGUUUCUUUGGACAACUAUGAUAGCAUAUCCUUUUAUAAUGCAAUCAGAAUUCUAUGUACUUUCUCAUUUGCAAAUUCUACCUUGUAUUCGUUCAUUUUUUCAAGCACAAAGUUUAACGUGCUGGUCCGCUCGAUUUUGAUUAAUUACGAUAACCGAAAAAUUUCUUCAUUUUCGGUAUUUAUUUGCUGUUGUAGUGUAAGCCUCUACUCGUCUUUGGCAGCUUUUAAUGUUGCGAGUUGCUCCUCAACAAUGUGCAGCUUUGCCUCCAUGAAAUGCACGGAGCUUUCACUAUCUUUUAAAUUGCGUUGCAUUUUUUCUAACUGGUCUUGCUGCUCGUUCAGUUUAUUCCGAAGACAGCUGCCCAAUUCUCCCUCUGCAAUUAGCAUGUCAUCAACAUUCUUAAUUAUCUCGUCGUUGUUCUCAGAGGAUUCUUUUUCAUGCUGUGACGUUUGCUUCAAGAUCCUAUUUUCGUUUUCCAAUGUUGCAACUUGUAAUUUCAACGCCUCAAUUUUUUAACUCGAGAAUUCUAUUUUAUACUCGUUCAUCUUCUCAAUAUUGGUGAACGAAUUAGGAUUUUCCAGAAUAAAUUGGAGAUCUUGGUCUCCAAUUGUUUUACCUGGUUCAACUGGAACCAAGCUUAUUAUAUCUCUUAUGGGAGAUAUGUUCGAAAAACUACCCCCAGUCAGCACUUAACCUGCGGGUUGUGGAGGGUCGUCCGUUUCCAUCUCUUCUAAAAUGUCUUCCAUCAUUUCCCCCUCUGGCGAGAAUGGGGUCGACUUAAAAAAAUUGGCAACGGCUUUUGCUUUCAGUCAUGCUACUUUGAGGGUUGAUGGGGAAUUGAAGGGGGUAGAUGAGUUAUCCAUAUCCAAUUACAUAUUUUACUGAGUUGAAACUUUCAGAUUUUGCGAAUAAUAUAUAUAAUAUAUGUACAAUGUCAUUUAACACGCAAAAUAAUAAUUCAUCUAAUGUUAAGUACCCACAAUUGCUGUGUAUCUAUGUAUUUGUUAUUUAUUUUGUACAUAUAUUUAAAAUGUGACUGUGGAAAACGUUAACCAAUUUUAUUCAGACGUCAAGUGAUAUACAUGUAGCUUGCCAUAAAAAAUGUUAUGUGAGACAUAAAGGUAAUAAUAUCUUGCAUACCAUAUGUACCCCCUUGUUAAUCUUGCUCUUCAUCUUUCAAACAACAUUUAAGUUUUUUAUAAAAAAAAUUUCUUUAUUUCGCACUUGAUGAUGCAAAUUGUAUUCUCAGAUACGAGUGUAAUAUAUAAAUAUGAGUGUAAUUCCAAAAUGAUGACAAUGAUUGUAGUAUUGUAACAUGCUAACGGUAAUUUAGGUUAUGUUACACUCGAUGCACUUAUUUUCUACUAUAAUUAGUCAGGGUAAUUAAUAAUUUAGCGUAGUUAAUAUCGAUGUUAACAUAUGUGUAUCGUACAUAUUUAUUUAUUUGUUUGAAGAGUAAAAAUGUACAUUUCAUUAAUCAAUACAUUUUAUGAGCUUGACAAG
Long non-coding RNA from Folsomia candida, 5641 nucleotides. RefSeq lists it as uncharacterized. Lineage: Eukaryota; Metazoa; Arthropoda; Collembola; Entomobryomorpha; Isotomidae. The record is from RefSeq and is a predicted model, not a curated record. The transcript is spliced from 4 exons.